Mauremys reevesii (Reeves's turtle) is the source of this 644-nucleotide long non-coding RNA. RefSeq lists it as uncharacterized. The transcript is spliced from 3 exons. The record is from RefSeq and is a predicted model, not a curated record. Lineage: Eukaryota; Metazoa; Chordata; Testudines; Geoemydidae.
GCCCCGGGGAGGGUUUUGCUUUGGGUUGCCUGUCCAGAGAUUCUGGACCUGCAUGGAGCUGUCUUUAUGAGACCGGAUGGGCUGGCAGGAGCAGUAGAGCUGAUUGCGGGACUGGACCUGACAGCAACUGAGCUGGGGCAGCUGACUGCAGUGAACCAGGGCCUGGCAGCAGCAGGCCUGACCAGGAGCUGACGGUGUGAACUUCAGUCGGCUGCAGUGAACAGCCUGAGAAGAGCCACCUCCUGAUGCCUACUUAACCACCCCACGUCUAAUUGGAUUUGUGACUGAGGCGCAGCUUUGCAUGUCUCCUCUGCUGUUUUGUGCAGAGAUCUGUCCUCCAGACUGACGGAGACCUGCUUCUCACAUUUGCACCAAAGAUGUGAUUUAGAAAGUUGUAUUCCCUCAGAGGUUUGGAGGCGGUCAGUGUAUCAUCUUGAAAAGUCUGUCUUGUUUUUAUAAACAAAGGAAAGAUGUGUGAAGAGAGGAUUCCAGUUGACAAUGACUCCGUUUCUCUUGCAGAACGUAAUGGGAGUUGAGUUGAAAGGGACAUUAUUGCACGUUCAAUGAGUAUAUUGUGGCAUUGUGGGGUUUUUUUGGGGGGGGACAAUUAUUUCCCUCUGGGUGACUGUGAAAAGGUUUGGUGA